AAUGUCUUGGCAUGAAAUUUUAAAGUGGAACUGAUCAUCAGUGAUUCACUAAAUAAUUUGUAAGUGAAGUUUGUCUUCAACUGGUAAGGUUCAGUAGUAUUUGUCAAUUGCCAUACCCUCACUUGAUAUCUUGCUUACUGCUCCCAAUCUCUUUGGCAUUGAGUUUUUCUAUUAUUUUCUCCUGUCAGACCCAGGUAGAGUUUUUCUGAUUAAGUAAUACCAAGUAAUUUAACCUUUCUGAGCCUAGUCUAUUCAUCUGUGUAGUGGG
This 268-nucleotide long non-coding RNA is filed under the name Pan troglodytes (chimpanzee). RNAcentral describes it as "long non-coding RNA NONPTRT011529". Lineage: Eukaryota; Metazoa; Chordata; Mammalia; Primates; Hominidae. The record is from RNAcentral.